RNAcentral lists this ribosomal RNA (497 nucleotides) under uncultured bacterium. RNAcentral describes it as "partial 16S ribosomal RNA". It matches the Rfam family "Bacterial small subunit ribosomal RNA", at positions 28 to 507 of the family's 1533-position model. The record is from RNAcentral.
GAUGAACGCUGGCGGCGUGCCUAAUACAUGCAAGUCGAGCGAACAGACGAGGAGCUUGCUCCUCUGACGUUAGCGGCGGACGGGUGAGUAACACGUGGAUAACCUACCUAUAAGACUGGGAUAACUUCGGGAAACCGGAGCUAAUACCGGAUAAUAUAUUUAACCGCAUGGUUCAAUAGUGAAAGACGGUUUUGCUGUCACUAACAGAUGGAUCCGCGCCGCAUUAGCAAGUUGGUAAGGUAACGGGUUACCAAGGCAACGUUUCGUAGCCGACCUGAAAGGGUGACCGCCCAACCUGGAUCGAGAACCCGGCCCAGACUCUAACGGGAGGCGGCAGUAGGUAUUCUUCCGCAAUGGGCGAAGGCUUGACGGGCCAACGCCGCGGGAGUGAUAAAGGUCUUCGGAUCGUAAAACUCUGUUAUUAGGGAAGAACAAAUGUGUAAGUAACUAUGCACGUAUUGACGGUACCUACUCAGAAAGCCACGGCUAACUACGUG